Priapulus caudatus is the source of this 93-nucleotide long non-coding RNA. RefSeq lists it as uncharacterized. The transcript has 3 exons. NCBI's taxonomy places the organism in Eukaryota, Metazoa, Priapulida, Priapulimorpha, Priapulimorphida, Priapulidae. The record is from RefSeq and is a predicted model, not a curated record.
CAGGAUAUCAAUUAUAACCAAGCAUUUUUCCAUUUAUCAACUAAGUAACAGACAACAAAAUUGAACAAAUAACAUAAAAUAUGUUUUCCCACA